GACGAACGCUGGCGGCGUGCUUAACACAUGCAAGUCGAACGGAAAGGUUCUGCUUUUGUGGGGUGCUCGAGUUGCGAACGGGUGGGUAACACGUGAGUAACCUGCCCUUGACUUUGGGAUAACCUCAGGAAACUGAGGCUAAUACCGGAUAGGAGCUCCUGCUGCAUGGUGGGGGGUGGAAUGUUUAUGCGGUUGGGGAUGGACUGGCGGCGUAUCGGCUUGUUGGUGGGGUAGUGGAAUACCAAAGCAUCGACUGGUCGCCGACCUGGGAGGGUGACCGGCCCCAUUACGACUGAGAUAAGGCCCAGACGCGAAUGGGAGGCAAGGGGGGAGAGGAGUACAGAGUAGGAGGGAGCCAGAUGCGACGAAGCCGCGUGCGGGAAGACAGGCUGUGGGUUGUAAACGGAUUUCGACUGAGAAGAAACGUGAGUGACGGUAAUGGACAAAGAAGCACCGGCUAACUACGUG
This 468-nucleotide ribosomal RNA is filed under the name uncultured bacterium. Its description in RNAcentral is "partial 16S ribosomal RNA". It matches the Rfam family "Bacterial small subunit ribosomal RNA", at positions 28 to 507 of the family's 1533-position model. The record is from RNAcentral.